RNAcentral lists this ribosomal RNA (253 nucleotides) under uncultured Lachnospiraceae bacterium. Its description in RNAcentral is "partial 16S ribosomal RNA". It matches the Rfam family "Bacterial small subunit ribosomal RNA", at positions 524 to 776 of the family's 1533-position model. The record is from RNAcentral. Lineage: Bacteria; Bacillati; Bacillota; Clostridia; Lachnospirales; Lachnospiraceae.
UACGGAAGGUCCGGGCGUUAUCCGGAUUUAUUGGGUUUAAAGGGAGCGUAGACGGUGAUGCAAGUCAGAAGUGAAAGCCCGGGGCUCAACUCCGGGACUGCUUUUGAAACUGUGUGACUGGAGUGCAGGAGAGGUAAGCGGAAUUCCUGGUGUAGCGGUGAAAUGCGUAGAUAUCAGGAGGAACACCAGUGGCGAAGGCGGCUUACUGGACUGUAACUGACGUUGAGGCUCGAAAGCGUGGGGAGCAAACAGG